CUGAGUUCGGGGGCAAUCCCAGUCCCGACCUCCAACCCUUUGUGAACAUAUCUUGUUGCUUCGGGGGCAACCCUGCCGUUCGCGGCAUUCCCCCCGGAGGUCGUCAAAACACUGCAUUAUUACGUCGGAGUAAAAAGUUAAUUUAAUA
This 148-nucleotide unclassified non-coding RNA is filed under the name uncultured Mycosphaerellaceae. The record is from RNAcentral. Lineage: Eukaryota; Fungi; Ascomycota; Dothideomycetes; Mycosphaerellales; Mycosphaerellaceae.